This 626-nucleotide long non-coding RNA is filed under the name Pan troglodytes (chimpanzee). Its description in RNAcentral is "long non-coding RNA NONPTRT007044". The record is from RNAcentral. Lineage: Eukaryota; Metazoa; Chordata; Mammalia; Primates; Hominidae.
CAGUUUGUUUUUCAAAAAUUUCCAUGUAGAUAAGUAUCAGCCCGAUAUGGAGCUUCCGGAGACCCAGAGGUUGCAGAGUGAGCUUGAUGUAUUAGAUGCGGAUAUAGUUCCGGAAGAAGGACCAUUUAUUCUAGACCAAAGUGCAAGCUUCAAAGACGAGGUGUUAGCCGUGGCAAAAACAAAAGCAGUGAAAAAGAAGCCUGUGACUGAGAAUGUGCCAUUUAGGAAGAAAGAUACUCUGGUGCCAGCAAGACAGCAAGGACUCUGCAAAGCUGAAAGAGGUAGACAAAGCCAACCUCACAGUAAAAGCAGAGUGCAGCAGACAACAGUUUCAUCCAGAUUAAAAAUGAACCGGCAGCCUGUGAAAGACCGCAAGGCACCAUGGAUACCCCCAAACCCCACAUCCCCACCAGCGUCUCCUAAAUGUGCCGCAUGGCUAAAGGUGAAAACUAGCCCCAGAGAUGCCACAAAAGAGCCUCUCCAGCAAGAAGAUCCUCAAGAGGAGAGUCACCUGACAGGUGCUGUUGAGCAUGAAGCAGCCAGGCUCGCUUGGCUUGAUGCUGAAACUUCCAAAAGAUUGAAGGAACUAGAAGAGUUAAAAGCCAAGGAAAUUGACAACAUGCAAA